ACGCUCGACACCUACGGGGGGCAGCAGUGGGGAAUAUUGCACAAUGGGGGAAACCCUGAUGCAGCGACGCCGCGUGGAGGAAGAAGGUCUUCGGAUUGUAAACUCCUGUUGUUGGGGAAAAAGAGGAUGGUACCCAACAAGGAAGUGACGGCUAACUACGCGCCAGCAGCCGCGGUAAUCUGAGCGGGCUGGCAAGGC
This 198-nucleotide ribosomal RNA is filed under the name uncultured bacterium. RNAcentral's name for it is "partial 16S ribosomal RNA". It matches the Rfam family "Bacterial small subunit ribosomal RNA", at positions 328 to 539 of the family's 1533-position model. The record is from RNAcentral.